UUAAGCGACUAAGCGUACACGGUGGAUGCCCUGGCAGUCAGAGGCGAUGAAGGGCGUGCUAAUCUGCGAUAAGCGCCGGUAAGGUGAUAUGAACCGUUAUAACCGGCGAUACCCGAAUGGGGAAACCCAGUGUGACUCGUCACACUAUCAUUAACUGAAUCCAUAGGUUAAUGAGGCGAACCGGGGGAACUGAAACAUCUAAGUACCCCGAGGAAAAGAAAUCAACCGAGAUUCCCCCAGUAGCGGCGAGCGAACGGGGAGGAGCCCAGAGCCUGAAUCAGCAUGUGUGUUAGUGGAAGCGUCUGGAAAGGCGCGCGAUACAGGGUGACAGCCCCGUACACAAAAGCGCAUGUGCUGUGAGCUCGAUGAGUAGGGCGGGACACGUGGUAUCCUGUCUGAAUAUGGGGGGACCAUCCUCCAAGGCUAAAUACUCCUGACUGACCGAUAGUGAACCAGUACCGUGAGGGAAAGGCGAAAAGAACCCCGGCGAGGGGAGUGAAAAAGAACCUGAAACCGUGUACGUACAAGCAGUGGGAGCACAGGUUUACCUGUGUGACUGCGUACCUUUUGUAUAAUGGGUCAGCGACUUAUAUUCUGUAGCAAGGUUAACCGAAUAGGGGAGCCGGAGGGAAACCGAGUCUUAAUUGGGCGUUAAGUUGCAGGGUAUAGACCCGAAACCCGGUGAUCUAGCCAUGGGCAGGUUGAAGGUUGGGUAACACUAACUGGAGGACCGAACCGACUAAUGUUGAAAAAUUAGCGGAUGACCUGUGGCUGGGGGUGAAAGGCCAAUCAAACCGGGAGAUAGCUGGUUCUCCCCGAAAGCUAUUUAGGUAGCGCCUCGUGAAUUCAUCUCCGGGGGUAGAGCACUGUUUCGGCUAGGGGGCCAUCCCGGCUUACCAACCCGAUGCAAACUGCGAAUACCGGAGAAUGUUAUCACGGGAGACACACGGCGGGUGCUAACGUCCGUCGUGAAGAGGGAAACAACCCAGACCGCCAGCUAAGGUCCCAAAGUCAUGGUUAAGUGGGAAACGAUGUGGGAAGGCCCAGACAGCCAGGAUGUUGGCUUAGAAGCAGCCAUCAUUUAAAGAAAGCGUAAUAGCUCACUGGUCGAGUCGGCCUGCGCGGAAGAUGUAACGGGGCUAAACCAUGCACCGAAGCUGCGGCAGCGACACUGUGUGUUGUUGGGUAGGGGAGCGUUCUGUAAGCCUGCGAAGGUGGCCUGUGAGGGUUGCUGGAGGUAUCAGAAGUGCGAAUGCUGACAUAAGUAACGAUAAAGCGGGUGAAAAGCCCGCUCGCCGGAAGACCAAGGGUUCCUGUCCAACGUUAAUCGGGGCAGGGUGAGUCGACCCCUAAGGCGAGGCCGAAAGGCGUAGUCGAUGGGAAACGGGUUAAUAUUCCCGUACUUGGUGUUACUGCGAAGGGGGGACGGAGAAGGCUAUGUUGGCCGGGCGACGGUUGUCCCGGUUUAAGCGUGUAGGUGUGUGUUCCAGGUAAAUCCGGUUCACUUUAACACUGAGGCGUGACGACGAGGCACUACGGUGCUGAAGCAACAAAUGCCCUGCUUCCAGGAAAAGCCUCUAAGCAUCAGGUAACAUCAAAUCGUACCCCAAACCGACACAGGUGGUCAGGUAGAGAAUACCAAGGCGCUUGAGAGAACUCGGGUGAAGGAACUAGGCAAAAUGGUGCCGUAACUUCGGGAGAAGGCACGCUGACACGUAGGUGAAGUGAUUUACUCAUGGAGCUGAAGUCAGUCGAAGAUACCAGCUGGCUGCAACUGUUUAUUAAAAACACAGCACUGUGCAAACACGAAAGUGGACGUAUACGGUGUGACGCCUGCCCGGUGCCGGAAGGUUAAUUGAUGGGGUCAGCGCAAGCGAAGCUCCUGAUCGAAGCCCCGGUAAACGGCGGCCGUAACUAUAACGGUCCUAAGGUAGCGAAAUUCCUUGUCGGGUAAGUUCCGACCUGCACGAAUGGCGUAAUGAUGGCCAGGCUGUCUCCACCCGAGACUCAGUGAAAUUGAACUCGCUGUGAAGAUGCAGUGUACCCGCGGCAAGACGGAAAGACCCCGUGAACCUUUACUAUAGCUUGACACUGAACAUUGAGCCUUGAUGUGUAGGAUAGGUGGGAGGCUUUGAAGUGUGGACGCCAGUCUGCAUGGAGCCGACCUUGAAAUACCACCCUUUAAUGUUUGAUGUUCUAACGUGGACCCGUUACCCGGGUUGCGGACAGUGUCUGGUGGGUAGUUUGACUGGGGCGGUCUCCUCCUAAAGAGUAACGGAGGAGCACGAAGGUUGGCUAAUCCUGGUCGGACAUCAGGAGGUUAGUGCAAUGGCAUAAGCCAGCUUGACUGCGAGCGUGACGGCGCGAGCAGGUGCGAAAGCAGGUCAUAGUGAUCCGGUGGUUCUGAAUGGAAGGGCCAUCGCUCAACGGAUAAAAGGUACUCCGGGGAUAACAGGCUGAUACCGCCCAAGAGUUCAUAUCGACGGCGGUGUUUGGCACCUCGAUGUCGGCUCAUCACAUCCUGGGGCUGAAGUAGGUCCCAAGGGUAUGGCUGUUCGCCAUUUAAAGUGGUACGCGAGCUGGGUUUAGAACGUCGUGAGACAGUUCGGUCCCUAUCUGCCGUGGGCGCUGGAGAACUGAGGGGGGCUGCUCCUAGUACGAGAGGACCGGAGUGGACGCAUCACUGGUGUUCGGGUUGUCAUGCCAAUGGCACUGCCCGGUAGCUAAAUGCGGAAGAGAUAAGUGCUGAAAGCAUCUAAGCACGAAACUUGCCCCGAGAUGAGUUCUCCCUGAGACUUAAAGUCUCCUGAAGGAACGUUGAAGACGACGACGUUGAUAGGCCGGGUGUGUAAGCGCAGCGAUGCGUUGAGCUAACCGGUACUAAUGAACCGUGAGGCUUAACCUU
RNAcentral lists this ribosomal RNA (2905 nucleotides) under Salmonella enterica. RNAcentral describes it as "bacterial LSU rRNA". It matches the Rfam family "Bacterial large subunit ribosomal RNA". Lineage: Bacteria; Pseudomonadati; Pseudomonadota; Gammaproteobacteria; Enterobacterales; Enterobacteriaceae. The record is from RNAcentral. RNAcentral also lists the same sequence under 2 other names.